CGAACGCUGGCGGCGUGCCUAAUACAUGCAAGUCGAACGCUUCUUUCCUCCCGAGUGCUUGCACUCAAUUGGAAAGAGGAGUGGCGGACGGGUGAGUAACACGUGGGUAACCUACCCAUCAGAGGGGGAUAACACUUGGAAACAGGUGCUAAUACCGCAUAACAGUUUAUGCCGCAUGGCAUAAGAGUGAAAGGCGCUUUCGGGUGUCGCUGAUGGAUGGACCCGCGGUGCAUUAGCUAGUUGGUGAGGUAACGGCUCACCAAGGCCACGAUGCAUAGCCGACCUGAGAGGGUGAUCGGCCACACUGGGACUGAGACACGGCCCAGACUCCUACGGGAGGCAGCAGUAGGGAAUCUUCGGCAAUGGACGAAAGUCUGACCGAGCAACGCCGCGUGAGUGAAGAAGGUUUUCGGAUCGUAAAACUCUGUUGUUAGAGAAGAACAAGGACGUUAGUAACUGAACGUCCCCUGACGGUAUCUAACCAGAAAGACACGGCUAACUACGUG
This 506-nucleotide ribosomal RNA is filed under the name uncultured bacterium. RNAcentral's name for it is "partial 16S ribosomal RNA". It matches the Rfam family "Bacterial small subunit ribosomal RNA", at positions 30 to 507 of the family's 1533-position model. The record is from RNAcentral.